RNAcentral lists this ribosomal RNA (468 nucleotides) under uncultured bacterium. RNAcentral's name for it is "partial 16S ribosomal RNA". It matches the Rfam family "Bacterial small subunit ribosomal RNA", at positions 28 to 507 of the family's 1533-position model. The record is from RNAcentral.
GACGAACGCUGGCGGCGUGCUUAACACAUGCAAGUCGAACGGAAAGGCCCUGCUUUUGUGGGGUGCUCGAGUGGCGAACGGGUGAGUAACACGUGAGUAACCUGCCCUUGACUUUGGGAUAACUUCAGGAAACUGGGGCUAAUACCGGAUAGGAGCUCCUGCUGCAUGGUGGGGGUUGGAAAGUUUCGGCGGUUGGGGAUGGACUCGCGGCUUAUCAGCUUGUUGGUGGGGUAGUGGCUUACCAAGGCUUUGACGGGUAGCCGGCCUGGGAGGGUGACCGGCCACAUUGGGACUGAGGUACGGCCCAGACUCCUACGGGAGGCAGCAGUGGGGAAUAUUGCACAAUGGGCGGAAGCCUGAUGCAGCAACGCCGCGUGCGGGAUGACGGCCUUCGGGUUGUAAACCGCUUUAGCCUGUGACGAAGCGUGAGUGACGGUAAUGGGUAAAGAAGCACCGGCUAACUACGUG